CAUUAUUUCUCUUGUACAAGUGUUCAUAGCCUCCCAGUUCCUCAUUCUUCUCUUAUAAGCUUCAAUAUCAUCCCAGUUUACAGGCAAUAUAAGAUUCUUCACCUCAAUUUUCUUUCCUUACAAGCUUUAUUAGUGGUAUAGUUCCCAAUCAUUACGUACAGAAACUCCACAUUAUUUCUCUCGUCCAAGGUUUCGUAGCACCCCAGAUCACAGUCGAGUUUUGCCGCAAGGAAGGGAAGGCGCCGGAAAGGGUUCGCUGGCGUGGAGGUUGUCUCGGUGUUAGCGGUAAUAGUCUUAAGAGGUGUGUCGUCGUUGCAAACCCGCUCCCACUUGUCCUGGGUCGUCCAAAUGUCUGUCUGUCUGUCCACGUGUCGUCGCAAACUUGUCAUACUUCUCCUCUCGUGUCAUGACUCACAGGGACGUUUCACAAGUCCUAUCCGAGAAGUUACGUGUUCCUUCAGAUUUAUUUAUCCUGGGCUCUGUAGGGUCUGUCUGUGUGUCAUCCUGAACUUGUCAUACUUCUCCUCUAACGUCAUGACUCACAGGGACGUUUUACAAGUCCUAUCCGAGAAGUUACGUGUCCCUUCAGAGUUAUUCAUCCUGGGCUCUGUAGGGACCCGAAACUUCCCAGAUUGGACUUGUAACACGGGCCUUGGUUUUGACGCCGUUCCUCAUGUAGGUGUUUCCAAUGAUACUUUUGUUCCUAUUUGCUGUUUGUGUGAUGUUUUGGGGUCACUUAAUUUGUACAUUGACUCUUGGGGUAUGUGUCGGAAGCUUAGCAUUGUGUCUCUCCCAUCAAAGAAAAUAUAUAUAAGCCCUAACUUAAGAAUUUCAUGAAGGAAUGCGAACCUUGCCUCUGCACAUAAAAAAAGUUAGACGCCCAUGAAAAGAAGAAAAGGUAAAUGAUAAUGGAAAGUAAAUAUGCCGAGCCUCGUAGCCGUGUUCGGUGCUGGGGAGGCGAGGAGAGUCUUGUGUGCGAGUGUGUGGGAGAGCAGAGGGAGUUAGUUAGACACGGUAAUACAAACUGUCGUUCUUUUUCUUUUCUUUCUUUUCUUUUUGUCAGAGAGAAAAAGAAAAUGUCGAAAGGAGAAAGAGAAAAAAAUUAUAAUCGAGAGUGAAGUCUAGGAUUUAAUGAAGGCAAGGCAGAAUAAUACAAGCUGUCCUUCUUUUUCUUUUCUUCCUUUUCUUUCUUUCCUUUUUGUUAGAGAGAGAAA
Long non-coding RNA from Eriocheir sinensis (Chinese mitten crab), 1214 nucleotides. RefSeq lists it as uncharacterized. The transcript is spliced from 2 exons. The record is from RefSeq and is a predicted model, not a curated record. NCBI's taxonomy places the organism in Eukaryota, Metazoa, Arthropoda, Malacostraca, Decapoda, Varunidae.